This 1053-nucleotide long non-coding RNA is filed under the name Canis lupus familiaris (dog). Its description in RNAcentral is "lncRNA (ENSCAFG00000050136.1)". The record is from RNAcentral. Lineage: Eukaryota; Metazoa; Chordata; Mammalia; Carnivora; Canidae.
AUGGCUGGGGGCACCUGCGGCCAGAGGGGCCUGAGGGGGCGGACCUGCACCCCCUCCUGCCCGCCCCCCUGCACCAGGCUGGCCGGCCCCUUCCUGGCUCGCGCCCCCCACCCUACCCGUGGUUGCUAUGGGGGCCAUCGUGACAGGUGGCUCAGAUUUGGGAGAAGGAGAAGGAGGGGAGGGGGAGGUGUGGCGAGCCCGCCCCGGGGAGGAGAGGAGUGCAGGUGGGACCCAGUUGGCGUCUGUCCUGAUGUAACACGGGCCUGGCUCGGCUGCAGCCUGCACGCUCUGCCCUCCUUGCUGUGUGACCUUGGGCACUGUGGUCCGCGGUCCGCGCCCAGUGGGUGCUCGGUGGCCGGCGGCCCCGCCCAGCACUUGGUGAGCCGCGGGGCUUGGCGACCGGCUGGCUGCGUAGUAUUUGGUAUUCAGCAGACCUCCCCGGCCAGGAGUCACCGGGCGCAGGCGGCAGGCGGCAGGCGGCAGGCGUGUCAUUAUUCAGCGCCGUACCUUGUUUACGCACGGUCCAGUGAGCUUGCGGGUCUGCUGGCCGCCGUGGGGUCCAGGCUCCCCGGCAGGCAGCCCACCCCGGGCGGAUGGGGCACAGCCUGGGGACACAGGCACUCGGGAGACCCACCGAGACCCCUUGGGGGGGCUGCGCGCAGCACCUUCGGGGAGGCUGCUGCAUUCCACCAGCAGUGGCCGCCGCCCCGGGCAGCGUGGCCUCCUGGCACAGGCCAGCCCCGGUGUGAUUUGGUCGCCACUAGGCUGACCGCAGUGGGUGAGCCAGGAGUGGAGGGGCGCAGCUCAGACCUGUUGGGGGGCCGGUCUGCAGGCAGCCCAGGGUCCUGGGUGCUGGUGGUCCCUCUGGGGCAGUUGGGGUGCACAUCCCCAGGGACUGGGCCUCUGCAGUCAUGGUUUGGCCCAUCCCAGCUUCAUCCAAUCCCAGUGUCUUCCAAAUCCCUGCUAACCUUCAGGCAGGAGGGACACGUCAAAUAUAGAGGGCAGCUGGGCGGGGGUGGGGUGGGUCUCCACUGCUUGCCAGUUUAUUUUUAA